CACUGCCCCUGUCACAGUGUCACUGAACACUAUACAGUCUAUCAUCAUUCAUUCACACAUUCAUCAGACACGUACGGCCGUCGAUCAGUUUAUUGCGCCCGCCCUAGCUAAUCACGGCGUCUAAUUAGUGGAAGGAGGUGUUCUUGAGGUGCUCCGGCGCGUCCUGGAAGGAGUGCUUUCUGGCCAGGGAGAGGAUGGUCUUGUCGGCGACGAUGAAGUAGGCCAUCCCCGCGACGGUGGAGAUGAUGAGCGCCUGCCCGGUCGGGUUCAGGUAUGCCUUGGCCCACGGCAGCAUCCUCACGCUCGCCAGCUGAAAUCAUGGAUAGCAGAUUCAUGAGACAUGCGAUCAACUAUGGAGCGCGCGAUCUCCUCCAACAACCAAAUGGCUAGCUUUCUGGAUACUUACUGUGGGCACUGCGGCUGCGACGGUGGCGACGGCCGCGGCCUUGGCUCCGGCCAUGGCAGCCUCUGCAGCACACACAUGUAACAUGUUAAUCGCAAUCAAGUUCCGACAGACACAGACAGCACAUAAAUAAGCCGCAAUGCAUAACGGAACCGGCCGUCGCUCGUUGGUUACCUACCUCUGGAGCAGCGCUUAGCUGCGGCGAGCCUCUGGUCGAGGUAGGCGCGGGUGACCGUCGACAUCUUCCUUCGCCGGGAGCAGAGCUUGGUUGUACGAGAUCGGAAGGAAGUGAACGAGCAGUAGCAGCAAAGCCAAGUGCAGUAGCUAAAAAGAUGAGUAAGUAGUAGUAGCAGUAGGUGGAGUGAGGUGCGGUGGGGAGAGCAAGGUGCUCCGGCGAGAUUUAUACGUAGUUCGCAUGAAACCGCGAAACCGGCGUGCCGGGAGGAAGACGGACUUGAUACGGUGGGAAUCAAGACCACGGUUUUGAGACGAGCGAGCGGUGGUACCGGCGGGAGGGCGCCUCGCUGCAGCAGAGCACAGCACAGGUGGCCGCGCCUCGUUCGUCGGUCGUAUAAAAAUGGGAGCACUCCACUACACUUUGCACUGGAUAAGAGGAGGCAUCGAUGGGGGGUUGGCACGGCGCUAGCGCGCGUAGGAUAACACGUAGGAGCAUGUGCGUGAACGCAGUGUCACUCAGCGUGCACUCCGUUUCGCUUCAGAUCUGUGUGUGUGCGGCGCGCUGCCAGUUUUCGGCCAACCCGUCGGCAAUCAGGCAAUUCCGCCGGCGGUUUGCUGAUUUGGAUCGUCUGUUUUUAUCGUCGGUUUGCUUUGGCACGCGCAUUUUAUCAGUUUUUCGUUAGUUUGGAUUGUUUAUUACGUGGAUUUUUUUUUUGCGACGAUUGUUUACGUGGAUUUGCGCGUCCGUAUUUUUACAUGGGUCGGCUUAAGCGUCCAAGGAAAGACUGAUCCAAAUUUAUUCGCGUAGAAAAAAAAUAACACGUCGAAGAAAAAACACGCGGUGGUGGAGGAGGCGGGAUGAAGAGCAGGGCAUGGACGGAGUCCCCUACCGCCGAACAAGCCGCUCCAUCCCAUCCCAUUGGGCCUCCUCGAUCUUGCUCGCCUCCAGUGCCUCAUGCACGACUCGCUCGAGGGCAGCUUGGUACGCCUCCUCUUCGUCCUCCUCGUGCAGCAGAACCUCAGGCAGCGGCGGAGGAACAUCGUAGUCAACGUGCACGACCCGGCGUCGCUCCUUCUCGUGCUCUAGCGCCAACCAACGCUCCCAGUUGGGGGAGUCUGGCGAGUAGGCACGCAUCUGCCGCUGCUCCAGAGUGAGGGUCUCACGACGCCGGAGAACCUCCUCGGCCUGCGCCCACGUCGAGCGUGGCACUGCUGGAAUAGGGACCCGUUGCGGAUGCAGAUACCAGUCGUGAGGCAGGUUGACAUCCGGAUACUGCACUGGCCGGUGGUACUGUCAGGGAGGAGCACUGCAUGGCCAGAUGUGGACGGGGGUUGUAAGUGGAUGAGGCCGUCCUCACCGCAUGCUUUCAUAAAAAAGGAAGGGCACAUGGACCGCCCACACACUACCAAGAGGGCCCCUAGGUAGGUGACGGCAUUUAAUAAGACAUGGCUGGUGGUUGGGCGGUGCACAAGUGGGACCGCGGCGGACAUAGACCGGCCGCGCGGCACGCCCGCAUCGCGUCUGCGUCGAUGCAUUUCAGACGCAAUUUUGGGUCGGAAAUAGGUCCGUGCGGACGCAAUGCGUACGGAUUUUGGGAAUGGGUCGCCGCGUUGGGCCGGCGCUUUUGUCUCUGCGACUCUAACGAACGUGGACGGACAAAAUGGGUCGCCUCGUUGGAGUUGCUCUUAUAUAUCCAAAUGGAUAUAUAUUAUCAUGAUUUAUUAUUGUUAACAUUAUCUUUAAGGUAAAAUAAGUUAAGUGGCAAAUUAUUUAAGCCCCAAUCUUCCUACAUGUCCUAUAUAAACAUGAGCUUCGAAAAUAUGUCUUGAGCGUGAGCAAUCAUAGAAGAUUAAAUGAUAGUUGAGUAUAUGAACGUGUAAAAAAACUCUUACAUAGACUUUUCUCUGAAAUAUAAUGAAUUAUGAUUGUCUCAAUGACUGAGAACAUUGUUUGUUGAUUGUCAAUAAAGUUUAUUCUUCUUACUCCAAUAUCUAUGAAUGGAUUAUUACUUGUUUAUGAGGAGCUAUAUAAUAAAAUACUUACUACUAUGUUAAUAUUCCUCAUGCUCUCAUGUUCGUAUUAUAUUUUUAUCAACACCUCUCUCUUAAAUCUUGUGGUAAUUAUUUUCAAGUUUGGAUUUUGCUUGAGGACAAGCAAGGUCUAAGCUUGCAAAAGUUGAUAAGUCCAUUUUGCAUCAUUAAUUAUUAUUAAUAUUUGUAUUAUUCUUGUCCAUUAUUUCUUAUUAUCACAUCAUUCUUAUGUCAUUUCUCUUUGAAUAUGUAAGGUAUAUCAUAAAGAGGGAAAUAUCUGGACAUUGAAAUUCUGAACCGGGAAACCGGAAAAAGGCAAAAAAAUCAAGAUGCUCCAAAUGGUGUGAAACUUGACGAAGAAUUUUUCCUUAAUAUUUAAAAAUUACUGGGUCAAAAAUAUGCCACAAGGGAGCCACCUAUUGGCGCCAAGGCAACAGGGCGCGACCACGCCCUUGUUGGCCCUUCUGAUGUCCCUCUCCUCUUAUAUGGCGUGUUUUGACCUAGAAAAAAUGAUAAGUAACCUUUCGGGGUAAAGCGCCGUCGUCUCGAGGCGGAAACCUGGGCAGAGGCCCUUUUUCUCUUCGACAGAGAGAUUCUGCCGAGCAAACUUUCCUCCAGGAGGGGAAAAUGAAAGUUAUCAUCAUCACCAAUGUUUCCUCCUUCGUGGAAGGACCGAUCUUCAUCAACAUCUUCACCAUCAUCAUAUCGUCUCCAAACCUAGUUCAUCUCUUGUAUUCAAUCUUUGUCUCGGGACCUCAGAUUGGUACAUGUGGGUUAUUAGCUGUGUUGAUUACAUCUUAUAGUUGAUGCUUAUUGGAUUACUUGGUGGAAGACAUUAUGAUCAAAUCCUUAAUUAUUAUUAUUACACCUCUCAUCUUGAAUAUGUUGAUGAGGUGCGAGUAGUAACUAUUGUUCCCGGGGACAUUGGAGAAGUCUUGUUAUAAAUAAUCAUAUAAUGUUGGUAUUCGCUCGAUAUUUUGAUGAUAUGUAUGUUGUUAUUUCUUUUAGUGGUGUCAUGUGAACGUCAACUACAUGACACUUCACCAUGUUAUGGGUCCAAGGAAAGUCAUUAUGGAGUAACAAGUAGAUGAUGGAUUGCGAGACUGGCAGAAGCUUAAACCCCAGUUUAUGCAUUGCUUCAUGAGGGGCUGAUUUGGAUCCACACAUUUAAUGCUAUGGUUCGAUUUAUCUUAAUUCUUCUUUUGUAGCUGCGGAUGUUUGCGAGAGAGGGUAAUGAUAAGUUGGUUUCUUGUUCAAGUAAGAACAACACCUUAACACCGGUCUAUCCACAUAUAAAAUUAUCAAAGUAGUGAACGCGAAUCAACUCAAUAUGAUGAAUAUGACUAGACGGAAAUUCUCAUGUGUUCACGGAAGCAGUUGCUUCAUAUAAAAGUACUUUCAGGCCUGUCAUUUGCUACAAAAAGGAUUGAGCUAUCUUGUUGCACAUUUGCUACUAUUGUUACUUGUCACUUAUUAUGAAUUAUCUUGCUACAAGACUAUCUAUCACUGUUACUUAUAGCACUUGCAGAUAAUACCUUGCUGAAAAUCGCUUAUUAUUUCCUUCUGCUCCUCGUUGGUUUCGACACUCUUAUUUAUAGAAAGAACUAUGAUUGAUCCCCUAAACUUGUGGGUCAUCAGCCCUCCAUGUCCAGGCAAGACCCAUGUGACCUUGCUGCCGCACGCGCCACGUCGUCGCUCGACACUACCAGUCGGCACCAACGCCACCGAGCGGGAGGAGAGGAGGCCCCGUCGCUGCCCGGCACUACCAGUCAACACUAACGCCGUCGAGUGUGGGGAGAGGAGCCCCUUCGCCAUCGACGCCAGUCGGGCUUUGCCCCAUGGCAGCAAGGAGAAGAGAGGGUGCGGCCUCCGCUGGCGGCUAGGUCCCCUCCCCUCUCUCUCAGUGUCCAAUUCACUCCAAAUCACAUGAGUUCAUUCAUCAAUUUUUCUUUGAAAGUUUUGCUGCCUCAUACAUGUGGACUGUGAUCAACACAACAAUUCAGGCUUGCACUUUGUUUUACUUAAUAUUUUCACUGUGCAGCUAACAUCGUAACUCUUAGUGCUAACAUCAAUUUUGUAGGAAGCAAAUUCCUUAUGGUAUAGGAAAGGUUCUACUACUCCCUACUAAAGUUGCGACCAUUAACUUGGAUCGGAUGGAGUAACUUUCUUUCACUAUCAGUUGGAUUGGAUCUUUUUAAACAUUCUUGCUGCAUUAGAUAAAAAGCAAUUAAUUUUUUCUGUUAGCAUGUAUUCAUAAAAAUAAUAAAUAAUGUAGAGUUUGGUAUCACUUUUGUUCAACAAGCCUUUUGCCAUUUCACUAUUUGACUAACCAAAAUUUCAAAUUGUAGGGACUAGUUUGCCAACGUAUUAUAGAAAAAGUUCAACGCGCAUAGUUUUAUAGCCAUAAAUCAAACCUUGUCCUAAAAAUUUCAACAUACGUUUUAGACGCGUUUGUCUUUUAUAAAGGCAUCUCACAAUACACUUGGGCACGUGUAUACGAUACAAGGAUAGAAUAUUUUAUUAAUGCUCGUCAUGAAUGAAAUGUCAAGUAUGUCCCUAUUUCUAGUGACAAACGCCUCAAAUUAAUCCACAGGACAGUAACUCCAGUAGUAUAGGCUAUAGGAAUGUGAACCUAAUAUGGCUAAACUUUUCUUUCAGAUUUGUCUUUUUGUCACAUUUUUUGUUAAACGUGCCGCAUUUUUUUUAAUGUUUACAUGUCACACCCUCUCAAGUAUAAACCUUGGCCGUGGCUACCGAGCGCAGCAAUGUCCGCUCACGGUGGUAGCGGACGCACCCGAGAACAAUCAACCACGUGUACUUAUUAGCGUUUAAAAAAAUUCAAAAAAUCGUAACUUUUGAACCGAGCAUCAAAAUGACGAUACGUUUUCACGGUCGUGUUUCUUAUGACGAGCUCUUCAAAAUUAGAUUCCAUAUGGAUAGAUUUCUACGAACUUUUUUUGAGCAAAUUUAUGUGCUAGAUGAGGCAAUUUUAGUGCUAUAGGCAAGCAACUCCUUUCCCCCCUUAGUAUGACUAUCUACCAGCGAAGAAUUCUUCUAAGUUGGUUACCACUGAGUAACAAUUGACUAGUUGCCUAUGAUUGAUGUUCACUUGCCUACAAAUGCUGUGGAAUUGUUCGAUUUUGAUGCUCAGUUGCCUNNNNNNNNNNNNNNNNNNNNNNNNNNNNNNNNNNNNNNNNNNNNNNNNNNNNNNNNNNNNNNNNNNNNNNNNNNNNNNNNNNNNNNNNNNNNNNNNNNNNNNNNNNNNNNNNNNNNNNNNNNNNNNNNNNNNNNNNNNNNNNNNNNNNNNNNNNNNNNNNNNNNNNNNNNNNNNNNNNNNNNNNNNNNNNNNNNNNNNNNNNNNNNNNNNNNNNNNNNNNNNNNNNNAUUAUGAUGCUCAGUUUCCUAUUACUGAUGGUCAAUUGCCUAUGGUUGAUGUUCAGUUGCGUGGCAUUAAUGCUCAGUUGCCUUCUAUUUAUGAAUAGUUGUCAUAAUUGCACUCUAGUAUCACAAAAAAGUUAGCAACUUUUAGUGUGUUUUUUGCGCAACUCCAGUGCAUUUCAACAAGCAACUCAUGUGUAUACACACAAUGCAAUUCAUACAUCAUCAAAGUUGUUUCUGUUUAGUACCAAAGUUGCCUCAUACAGCAUCGAAGUUGCUUUUGAAAAAAAUCUUCAAAUCAUAUUCAUAUGAGAUCUCGUUUUGAAGAGUUCGUCACGAGGAACCCAACGAUGAAAACAUAUCAUAAUUUCCACACACGGUUUGAUAGUUAUAUCUUUUUGAAUUUUUUUCGUACAGGAAUAAAUGGACAUCCAACGCAUGCGGAGCCGAGCAUGCACAUCCGACCCAUAAUUUAGCCUUUUCAGUUUGGAAAUUUCAGACUUCAUUUGUCAUGUGGUUGCUAAAGGGUGAAGUUAUUUAACCUUCUAGUCAUGAUAGAUAAUUUAAAAAAUAAUGUUGAUAGGCGAUCAUAUUACGCGCAUUAAUAAAAAUUAUUUCUCUUUAACACUAAAAUUGCCUAAACAUUACUCCACGGUUGCUUAAAAAAAGUUUAUCAAAAUAUAUCCAUAUGGGAUCCAGUUUUAAAGAGCUCGUUGUAACAAACACAACCGUGAAAACAGAUCAUUGUUAUGAGGCUCGGUUUAAAGUUAUAGUAUUUAAAAACAAAACAGAAUAAACUGGAAUGACUUGCUGCAUAUAGGAUGUGAUCGUUUCAACCAAAUAGUGCAGCUGUAUUUUUAUUAUUUAAGAUAAACCUUGUGCUAAAAAACUAUGACGAGUGAGGUGGCACGGUCGGGAUAUGCGGCGCAGAACAUGGGAGGGGCGGGGGGGUCAAAGAAUUCAGUGCUCGUUACGUCUUUUUACAUGCUCUGGCACAUGUAUAAGAUGGGUGAUGGCUGGCUGGAUAAGGGAGAAGCAGAGUUGAACAGAUGCAAGUCAUUAUUAAUUCAAGAUUACUGGCUGAAUACAUUAUGAUUACUUCAUCAGACAAGUGCCUGCACGGACAGAGGCGCAAGGCCUGAUCUGCAUCGCCUCGCUGAACAUUAUACUCGUACUACGUGAGUAUCUUUCAGCAAAAACGUACAUACAGCCCAAUAAUUAGUGGAAUGAGGUGUUCUUGAGGUGCUCCGGCGCGUCCUGGAAGGAAUGCUUCCUGGCCAUGGAGAGGAUGGUCUUGUCGGCGACGAUGAAGUAGGCCAUCCCGGCGACGGUGGAGAUGAUGAGCGCCUGACCGGCGGGGUUCAGGUGCGCCUUGGCCCACGGAAGCAUCCUCACACUCGCCAGCUGCAGAAAAAGGCACGGAAGAAGAAGACGGUGAGAUGAUUAUUCGUUCGACGUCAAAAACUCAGUGGUGCAGGCUGAUAAACGUGUGCUUACGGUGGGCACUGCGGCGGCGACGGUGGCGACGGCCGCGGCCUUGGCUCCGGCCAUGGCAGCCUCUGCAGUUACCAAUCAACACAGGCGUGUUAGUUUGGGUCUAGUUCCAGGCUUUCAGUAGACAGGACUGCACAUAACUGCAAUGCACUCCUAGAAUAGAACGGCGAGAGCAUUGCCGGCACAGUGAACCGGCGGGGCAUCAUAUCGUUUUGGUUACCUCUGGAGCAGCGCUUGGCUGCGGCGAGCCUCUGGUCGAGGUAGGCGCCGGUCACCGUAGACAUCUUNNNNNNNNNNNNNNNNNNNNNNNNNNNNNNNNNNNNNNNNNNNNNNNNNNNNNNNNNNNNNNNNNNNNNNNNNNNNNNNNNNNNNNNNNNNNNNNNNNNNNNNNNNNNNNNUCACCGUAGACAUCUUCGCCGGAGCAAAGCUUGGUGGCAGGAGACCCGAAGGAAGUGAACUACUCGUGACUUCUUAGGCCCUGUUUUGUUACAAAUAAGUCACCAACUUAUAAGUUAAAAAUGCAAAAAAUGACUUAUUUUGCCAAAAGGGCCUAACUUAUAAGUCAUAAGUUGCGAUACCCUAGCUUAAAACUUAUAAGUCACUUACUUUUUGAUGGGUCCCACCACCUUUUCAGCCGUGCCCACCGCCCACCCGUGCCCACCGCCCCAUCCGCUCCCCACCGCGUAGCGCGCCUCGCCGCCGCUCCCACCGCGCAGCGCGCCUUGCCGCCGCCGAGCUCCAUCCCCACCCACUGCGCAGCGCGCCUCGCCCAUCCCUCCCCACCGCGCACCGCUGCUGCCCUCGCCGCCGCUGAGCUCCAACGCGAGCUCGCUCGGCUCGCCCAGGCCAGAAGCGCGGUNUUAUAAGUCAGGUGACAACCAAACAAGGAUGACUUAUAAGUCACUGGUUUUAAGUCACCUGACUUAUAAGUCACCUGACUUAUUGGAACCAAACAGGGUCUUAGUAACAGUGAAGUGUGUGAGGCAAGAAGAUGAGUGGUGGUGUGUGAGAUGAGAUGGGGCAGAGCUCGGUGCUCCGGCCGGAUUUAUAGGCCGCAGGAAACCGCGAAACCGGCGUGCGGAGAGGAAAGCGAGCUGAUACGAUACGAUGGGAAGCGAGACCGUGGUUUCGAGCCGAGCGGGUGGCCGGUGGCCGGCGCUGCUCUGCGGCAGAGCGCAUGUGGCGCCGCCUCCUUUAACCUGGUCCGCAUAUAAAAAACCACCCCACGCGCCUCGUCACUGAUUCUUUUUGGUGGGCACUGCGCUGCGCUGCAAGUGGAUAAAGAUAAGGAAUCAAUCGAUCGGGGUUGGCGUGUAGGUGCUGCAUCAUAUAUAGGAGCAGGAGUAUGUGAGUGAGUGUGCCCUUGGCGCUCCCUGUUUUCGGCCAAUAAUCCUACACCUAUGUAAUUUGGUUACAUAAUCUUACUUAACCUUCGUAAUCUAAAUCUUCACCGUCCCUGAUUUUCGUGGGGUGAGGCCUGGGCUGUUUUUUCAUCCAAUCUAAUCAUGACAAAUCAACUACCACGCGUAACUUUACCUAGAAUCUCUAGGUAGGUGUAGCAAAGCCCGUUUUCGGCCAACCCGUCCGCAAUCCAAUUCCGCCAGCGGUUCCCUGCAAAUCCUUUGUUGAUCGCAUGCUCGGAAAUACCUCGUCCGAUUAGCCAGUAGAUGGAACUCUUGAUUUCGGUUAUUAUUUGUAGUAUAUAGUAUGAUAUAUGUUAGCAAGUAUAUGAACAAGUUCAAUGUUAAAUUGAUGAUUUUGAAUUUUAAGAUUUUGUAGAUUUAGAUGUAUAAUGAUUAUUAAUUUUAUCUCUUGUCUUUAUUUUAUAUGCCUACAGUAGAAUAUUUUGAUAUAUUACAUAGCUAUAGGUGCAUGAAGUAUGGUAUAAUAAAUAAAAAGUAUAGAUAUAAAUUGGCAAAUUUCUAUUUAAUCUACUGACAAUGGUCGACCGAUUAAUUCAGUUUAUAGGCUCAUUCACUGAUUAAUCGUUACUCUCAAGCAGACCGAGAAGCUACUAGUUACCGAUUUCUUGAACAUUGAAAAUACAUAACGUUGAUCACCUAUCCAAAUAACGUAAAGGUUUUCACUAGCCAGUCCUGUCAUCGCUUGCAGUCGCACCACCACCCUAGAUCUUCCAUCGUCGCAAAUCUCAACCCUGACCAAGGUUUUGGCUACCGAAUACCAAGGAAAUGUCAAGAAGGGGCCGAGAAAUGCGGCUACCAAAAAAUACCAAGUGGAUGCCAUCCAAAACUUCCAAGUGUGUUUCAAAUUAAGAAAAAUUGAGCUAGGUACGUACAACUAUGUGCCAUGCUCAAUUUAGUCAGGAAUUUGCUAGCAUCACAAUGGUUGUCUUCACGCAUGUCAAGGACUGAGGUGUUCAGUGUUCGGUCACUGACCAGUAAAGAAAUAGCAACCUAGCCAGCUCUGUGAAGUUGGUCCUAUAAGUCUGGAUUGACCGACACCUCUUACAUAUAAACCUUAUCCAAGACAGAUAUUGGGCGGCCCAAAUGCAUUGGAUCUGAGAGACGGGACCUACCACAAAUUUCAUCAAAUCUUCCAAACCUGGCCAUACAUGUCUUUUUCCUCUCCUCUCUUCUCCCUCGUUCGCGAUGGCCCUUCCCUAGCUUUUCAGCCACCCUAGAUUCGAUGUCGUCUUGACCCCAUAGCGCGAGUAUCACCACCACAAAACUCCUCCUGCCAUGGUACAUACCACUCUUCCCGUCGUACACCUUGCCCUCCAUGUGUUUGAUAAUGUCAAUGCAAUUAUUUUGGAUUCUUUUGUGGAAAAACAAUGGAUUCGGUCUUGUCACAUGAGUAGUAUAAAGGCUAGGAGCUUGAUGUAUUCAUUCACAAGUUCAUGAAUUCAUCAAAAUCAGAUGACGAAGAUGCUACAUUAAUGAUUGUGAUGAUUAGCUUCGAGAAAAUGGAGAUAAAAGCGUAGUAUAUUCUGAACUUCAAAAGUUCAAUCAAAGGGAAGAUAGACCUAAACUAGGAUAAAGCCGCUGGCUCACGACGGCCGCUCUACAAGUACUACAUCCUAACCGGAUCAACAUUUCCUGAAAUAUGCGUCAACACUUUCGUAUGUGCAAACACUUGUUCUAGUGCGCGGUUAAUGGAGUGAAGGCACAUGAUCCAUUCUCUCUUUUGUUGAAAUGCACAACUGCUCUAAGGAUUAUCAUCUAUUUUCUUUAAAGACUUUCUUUAUUUGCCACGCCAUGUAUUAAACUUUAUGAAAAUACUACCUCCAUCCCAAAAUAAAUGUUACAAAUUUAAAAUAACUUUAUACUAAAGCUAGUACUACCUUCCCAAGUAUAUAGGACAUGCGCGUAGUUCUAGCUUGUUAAUUUAACUACUCCCCCGUUCUUAAAUAUAAGUCUUUUAAGCGAUUUCACUAAGGGUCUACAUACAGAGCAAAAUGAUUGAAUCUAUACUCUAAAGUAUGUCUAUAUACAUCCAUAUAUAUGUAGUCCACUAGUGAAAUCUCUAGAAAGACUUAUAUUUAGGAACGGAUGGAGUAGCUAAUAUGUAUUAUAUGCGAUAAAAAUUACAUAUUCAGAGACUACAUCCCCAUAUGAAUCUAAUGAUAUAUUAUUUAUUACAUAUAAUACAUAAUUAAGUAGUUAAAUUAACGACCUAGAACUACAUGCAUGUCCUAUACACUUAGACGAAUGUAGUAUAAAGUUGAGACACCUAUUUUAAGAUAGAGGAAAUAUUUAAGAAGUGGUGAUCCCGAUGUGCAUCACAAACAUGAGAGGAAUAGCGGGUCAAAGAGUUCCGUGGGUAUUUCUGUCUUCUGCAUGCUCUACCACUGCCACACAUGUCAAAUGAUAACAACAAACGAGUAAAUGGAAGAUGGGGUGAUGGCCGGUGAACCUGAGCUGUACAAAUGCAAGUUAUUAUUAAUUCAAGAUUACUGGGUGGAUACAUGAUGAUUGCUUUGCUUCAUCAGAUAGAAAGUGUUUUGCACACAGAGAAGAGAAGCGCAGUACACCACUCACUGUCUGCAGCCCUCGCAUGGUGACCGCCUCCUUCACUGAACUUUACGCUUUCUUUCAGUAGAGGCGUACAGUUUAUUGGCAGAGAAGCGCAGUUUAUUGCAGGUCUAACUAAUGGAAGGAGUGUUGGCUUUUGAACGUGCGUAUGCAGCUGUACAGGCGUGCCUACGCGAUUCUUGCUUCGGCCGGCUAUUUGACGGAACUUGCGUAACUAGCGACACGAAUAAAACUGAUCGAUGGAUUUGAUGGCUAAAGGCCCGUGUCGAGCCUUUGCUUUGUAUUGCUUUUCGUUUUUCUGGUGUUACAAUCAACACCCCUAGGGUGUCUUUUAUACACGUCCACAAGGGACUAUGGAAAUAGACUAGGACUAGGAAUCCUAAUACUACUAGGACUCGGUUUGGCUUUCUUUCCUAAUCCUACAUGAGCAACAUGAUUAACAUCUACAUUCACCUCCUUAAUCUUGUUGCUUGACUUCACUUCUUGCACUCCGACUUUCCUCCUCAUCUCGAUGAACUUCUGUCGACCGAGGGACUUGGUGAAAAUAUCGGCAAGUUGGUCUUUCGUGUUCACAUGUUGAACCUCGAUCAACCCUUCUUCAAUGCACUCCCGGAUAUGGUGGAACCGGGUAUCUAUGUGCUUGCUCCUUUCGUGAUGAACCAGAUUUUUGCACAACGAGAUUGCAGCUUGGUUAUCGAUCUUCAGUGACACCUUCUACACCUCCCGCUUUGCAAGAAUAGCUAGGAGUCUUCUCAGCCACACUGCUUGACAAGCCGCCGUGCUUGCCGCUAUGUAUUCUGCCUCGCAUGAAGACAGUGCCACCACCUUUUGCUUCUGAGAAUUCCAGCUAAUCGGAUUCGGGCCAAGGUAGAAAACCAUGCCCGUUGUGCUCUUUCGGUCAUCAACAUCACCUGCCAUGUCGCUAUCUGAAUAUCCACGAAGGAUCAAUCCUUCCUUUCCCUUUCUGUACGUGCAACCAAGAUUAAUGGUGCCUUUCACAUAGCGCAAGAUUUGAUUGACCGCGCUCAUGUGCUCGGUUGUCGGAUUCUCCAUGAAACAACUCACGAUCCCGACUGAAUAAGCCAAGUCAGGUCGGGUAUGCACCAAAUAUCUUAGGCUGCCCACAACGCUUCGAUACAUUGUGGUGUCCACCGGCGGAUUUGAGCUACGCUUGCUCAACUUGUGACGUUGGUCCAUUGAAACUUGUGUCGCGUAGCAAUCUGACAUGCCACACUUGUCCAAUAACUUGACCGCGUAAGCCGAUUGACAUAGGGAAAUCUCUCCGGAGCUUUGCUUCACUUCGAUGCCCAAGUAAUAGCUGAGUAAUCCCAGAUCACUCAUGCUAAACUUGUUCUUCAUUUGCGCCUUGAAACGUUCAAUUUCUUUUACGCUAUCUCCGGUGAUAAUCAGAUCGUCGACAUAAACUCCAACUAGCAGGUUUGAGCCUUUGGAGUUCUUUGUAUAGACUGCGUGCUCGAGGGGACAUCUCUUGAACCCGAGCGAGACCAGACUUCGGUCUAACUUUGAGUUCCAAGCUCUUGGCGCUUGCUUCAACCCGUAAAGUGCCUUCUUGAGCUUGUAAACUUUCCCUUCUUCGCCUUUCUUCUCGUAGCCGAGGGGUUGUUCCACGUACACUUCUUCUGUGAGAUCACCGUUGAGGAAAGCGGAUUUAACAUCCAUAUGAUGAACCUUCCAAUCCUCUUGUGCUGCCAAAGCUAGGAGCACUCUCACCGUCUCGAUUCGAGCAACCGGUGCAAACACCUCAUCAUAGUCAACUCCUUGACGUUGUACGUAGCCCUUUGCAACGAGUCUUGCCUUGUACUUCACAAUGGCACCCUCCGUGUCCUUCUUUAACUUGUAAACCCACUUCAAACCUAUCGUCUUUUGGUUUGGAGGUCGGGUUACCAAAGUCCACGUGCCAUUGCUCUCAAUUGCCUUCAUCUCCUCAUCCAUGGCGUGCGUCCAGCUAGGACUUUUGCUCGCCUCUACGAAGUUCGCCGGCUCCUCAACUCCGAACAGACAUAGUCCGGAGUACUCAAGCGUAACUGGCUUUGUGUACUUGUAGACUUUCUUGAGGGUCUUGUAGCGACGAGGCCCUGAGGAGUCCGUUGUGGCUUGCGAAGGAGGCGACACAAAUUGUGUCGGUGUUGAUGCACUUGAGGAAGACGGCUGAGACCUUGGUGUGUCAUCGACAUCCGUGUCGUCGGCGUAGUCGUCGUGACCGUGACCAUCAUCUUGAUUGUCGUCGUCACUAUGCGCCUCGUUGUCGAUGUUCUCGUCGAGAUCUCCGCCUGUGUCGUGCGCGGCGUUGUCGUUAUCUCCUUGCGACCUAUGCGCGUCGUUGUCGGUGUCGGCACCAUGAUGAUCACUACCAUUGUGGUCACCUUGGUUGGGCGUCUUGCCAACCACCUGGACAUCCUCCCCUGCAUCAUCAUCAGUUGGAAAUUCAACUGCAAAUAUGUUACUGUUUGGAGCAUCGUCGGCUGCGGCGCUCCAAUUCCACGCUUGGUUUUCUUCAAACACGACGUCGCGUGAAAUCCGUAGACGCUUGGUUUGUGGAUCGUAGAAACGGUAUGCCUUGGUGCCAGAACUGCUCUCGUAUCCGAUGAACACCAUCUUGGUGCUACGAUCGGCAAGCUUUGAGAGAUGUGGCUCCGCCGUCUUCACAUGUGCCACGCACCCGAACGUCCGUAGAUGAGACACAUUCGACUUACGUCCGUAAAUUGCUUCAUACGGAGUCUUGCCGAUCACCGCCUUCGUUGGAGCCCGGUUGAGAAGAUAGACCGCCGUCGAGACAGCUUCUCCCCAAAAAGUCCCCGGCAGGUUCUUGCUGUUGAGUAAACUCCUUGCCAUGUCAACGACGGUUCGAUUGCGCCUUUCAACGACCCCAUUCUGCUGCGGCGUGUAAGGUGCCGUGAGGAACCUCUUUGUGCCAAUCUUCUCGCAGUAGUCGUUGAACUCAUUCGACGUAAACUCUCCGCCGCGAUCUGUCCGUAGAGCGCGAACCUUCAGCUUGUGUUCCAUCUCUGUUGCAGCCUUUAAUUUCUUGAACGCUUCAAACGCCUCAUCUUUAGAUCGUAGGAGAAUGACCCACAUAUAUCUCGAGUAGUCAUCUACCACAAGGAAGAAAUACUUCUUUCCAGCGUGAGUUGCCGGGGUGAUAGGGCCACAUAGAUCACCAUGGAGCAGCUCGAGUGCAUCACUUGCACGAUAGGUAGACUGAGCAGGGAAUGGCCUGCGGUGCUGUUUUCCAACCAAGCACCCGUCACAUACUCGAUCAACAUGGUCGAUAACUGGCAUCCCGGAUACCAUCUGCAUCUUUGACAUCUUCUUCAAGGCGUAGAAGUUAACGUGUCCAAAUCUAGCAUGCCAUAACCACGAAUCAUCAUCACUCUUGGCAAGCCAACACUCCGGUUGAGAUUGAUCAAGGUUGAGGAUAUAGAGCCUAUUCCGUGAGCGAUUAACACGAGCUAGCACGUUUCGGAGGUUGUCGAAGAUCGUCAUCACUCCGCUCUCUAUAUUCACCUUGCAUCCAUUCUCGUCAAGCUUCCCAAUAGAGAUGAUGUUGUUGCGCAGCCCUGGGAUGUAGUACACUCCGGUGAGUAUGCGAUGUUCGCCUGUGAGACCCUCAAAGAGGACAGAUCCUUGCCCGCAAAUCUCCACAGCUGAACCAUCACCGAACUUGACCGAGCCUUCAACAUCGUAUUCCAGCUCGAGGAAUUUCUCCUUGCACCCCGUCAUGUGGUUACUGGCACCCGUGUCGAGAUACCACGACACGUUCUGAUCACUGGAUAACUUUGGUGUCACUUUUUCCUCAUGAAGUAGCACCUUCCGGCUUGGUUUCACAACCACCGUUUCAGCGAGAUCACAAACUUCGGCCAUCAGAAGACCUGGACCUUCGUCUUCCUGCUUUGCCAAAUUUGCCUUGAUCUCCCGCUUGUUAGGCUUUGGACAAUCCUUCGCAAAGUGACCCAUCUUAUUGCAGUUAUAGCACUUGACCUCGGACAAGUCCAAGUUCCGUGGUUUCUGCUCUUUAGAUUGGCCCGCCUUACCACGACCUUGUGGUUUGCCUUUUCCUUUGCCUUUUCCGGUUUGUCCAUCGCCCUUCGUGUUGCUUGAGCCUUCGCCACCGUCACGCCUUCCUUUGCUACUUGGGGCCUCCCAAUCUGCGCGCGAGUACAUGAGUUGGUCACUACCUCCUCCUUUGCCUUUUCGACAGCCACGAGCAUUCUCUUCCCACGUCCGCAGGCGUCCGAUCGCCUCCGUUAUGGUCAUGUCGUCGAUGUCGUAAAGCUGCUCGAGCGUGCCGAUGAUGUACGUGAAUUUAUCAGUCACUGAACUGAAAAACUUCUCCACGAUCUCGGUCUCCUCGAGCUUUGAACCAAGCGCACGGAUCUCUCCCACCAGAGUAGUAAGACGCAUGGCAUAGUCGUUCACCGAUUCAGUUUCCUCCAUCUGCAACUUGUGAAAUUGGCGCUUCAGCACUUGUGCCCUUGCCUUGGUGACGCGAUCUUCUCCGAUCCUCAUCUCCUUGAGUGCGUUCCACGCCUCUCUUGCCAUCUCGAACUCCGCCAAUGUCAUCAGCACGGAAUCCGGCACAGACUGGGCUAUGGCGGCCAUGGCACCUUCGUCGGACUCGUCAUCGACGUCGUCGUCCGUGAUUGCCUGCCACACUCGAAGGGUUCGGAGAAUAAUCUUCAUCUUCACCGCCCACACGCCGUAGUUGGCGUCGGUGAGCAUCGGGUACUGGAUGGGGAUGUUGCGAUGCGCCUGGACGUUAGCGCCGCUCGUUCCUCCACCACUGGUUGCUGACUUGACGCCCUUCUUCACCUUGUCGCCGUUCUUGUUCGCCUUGGCACCGCCGCUGCCGGACUUGACCGACUCAGCGUCGCUGUCCGUCGUCGUAGAUCGUAGAUCGUCGACGCUCUGAUACCAAUUGUUGGCUUUUGAACGUGCGUAUGCAGCUGUACAGGCGUGCCUACGCGAUUCUUGCUUCGGCCGGCUACUUGACGGAACUUGCGUAACUAGCGACACGAAUAAAACUGAUCGAUGGAUUUGAUGGCUAAAGGCCCGUGUCGAGCCUUUGCUUUGUAUUGCUUUUCGUUUUUCUGGUGUUACAAUCAACACCCCUAGGGUGUCUUUUAUACACGUCCACAAGGGACUAUGGAAAUAGACUAGGACUAGGAAUCCUAAUACUACUAGGACUCGGUUUGGCUUUCUUUCCUAAUCCUACAUGAGCAACAUGAUUAACAUCUACAAGGAGGUGUUCUUGAGGUGGUCCGGCGCGUCCUCGAAGGAAUGCUUCCUGGCCAUGGAGAGGAUGGCCUUAUCGGCGACGAUGAAGUAGGCCAUCCCGGCGACGGUGGAAAUGAUGAGUGCCUGGCCAGUCGGGUUCAGGUGCGCCCUCGCCCACGGCAGCAUCC
Molecule: long non-coding RNA, 16898 nt
Filed under: Hordeum vulgare
Lineage: Eukaryota; Viridiplantae; Streptophyta; Magnoliopsida; Poales; Poaceae
Description: long non-coding RNA (HVUL_LNC017614)
Source: RNAcentral